GAUGAACGCUGGCGGCGUGCUUAACACAUGCAAGUCGAACGAGAAGUGGAGACGGAAACCUUCGGGCGGAAGACUUUACUUCGAGUGGCGGACGGGUGAGUAACGCGUGGGUAACCUGCCUCGUACAGGGGGAUAACAGUUGGAAACGACUGUUAAUACCGCAUAAGACCACAGCACCGCAUGGUGCGGGGGUAAAAACUCCGGUGGUAUGAGAUGGACCCGCGUUCGAUUAGCCAGUUGGCGGGGUAACGGCCCACCAAAGCGACGAUCGAUAGCCGAUCUGAGAGGAUGACCGGCCACAUUGGGACUGAGACACGGCCCAAACUCCUACGGGAGGCAGCAGUGGGGAAUAUUGCACAAUGGGGGAAACCCUGAUGCAGCGACGCCGCGUGAGUGAAGAAGUAUUUCGGUAUGUAAAGCUCUAUCAGCAGGGAAGAAAAUGACAGUACCUGAGUAAGAAGCCCCGGCUAACUACGUG
RNAcentral lists this ribosomal RNA (478 nucleotides) under uncultured bacterium. RNAcentral describes it as "partial 16S ribosomal RNA". It matches the Rfam family "Bacterial small subunit ribosomal RNA", at positions 28 to 507 of the family's 1533-position model. The record is from RNAcentral.